This 686-nucleotide ribosomal RNA is filed under the name uncultured bacterium. RNAcentral describes it as "bacterial SSU rRNA". It matches the Rfam family "Bacterial small subunit ribosomal RNA", at positions 102 to 807 of the family's 1533-position model. The record is from RNAcentral.
ACGGGUGAGUAACGCGUGGGUAACCUGCCCUAUACACAUGGAUAACAUACUGAAAAGUUUACUAAUACAUGAUAAUAUAUAUUUGCGGCAUCGCAGAUAUAUCAAAGUGUUAGCGGUAUAGGAUGGACCCGCGUCUGAUUAGCUAGUUGGUGAGAUAACUGCCCACCAAGGCGACGAUCAGUAGCCGACCUGAGAGGGUGAUCGGCCACAUUGGAACUGAGACACGGUCCAAACUCCUACGGGAGGCAGCAGUGGGGAAUAUUGCACAAUGGGCGAAAGCCUGAUGCAGCAACGCCGCGUGAACGAUGAAGGUCUUCGGAUCGUAAAGUUCUGUUGCAGGGGAAGAUAAUGACGGUACCCUGUGAGGAAGCCCCGGCUAACUACGUGCCAGCAGCCGCGGUAAUACGUAGGGGGCUAGCGUUAUCCGGAUUUACUGGGCGUAAAGGGUGCGUAGGUGGUCCUUCAAGUCGGUGGUUAAAGGCUACGGCUCAACCGUAGUAAGCCGCCGAAACUGGAGGACUUGAGUGCAGGAGAGGAAAGUGGAAUUCCCAGUGUAGCGGUGAAAUGCGUAGAUAUUGGGAGGAACACCAGUAGCGAAGGCGGCUUUCUGGACUGCAACUGACACUGAGGCACGAAAGCGUGGGUAGCAAACAGGAUUAGAUACCCUGGUAGUCCACGCUGUAAAC